GGUUAAGUGACUAAGCGUACACGGUGGAUGCCCUGGCAGUCAGAGGCGAUGAAGGACGUGCUAAUCUGCGAAAAGCGUCGGUAAGGUGAUAUGAACCGUUAUAACCGGCGAUGUCCGAAUGGGGAAACCCAGUGUGAUUCGUCACACUAUCGUUAACUGAAUACAUAGGUUAACGAGGCGAACCGGGGGAACUGAAACAUCUAAGUACCCCGAGGAAAAGAAAUCAACCGAGAUUCCCCCAGUAGCGGCGAGCGAACGGGGAGCAGCCCAGAGUCUGAAUCAGCUUGUGUGUUAGUGGAACGGUCUGGAAAGUCCGACGGUACAGGGUGAUAGUCCCGUACACCAAAAUGCACAGGCUGUGAACUCGAAGAGUAGGGCGGGACACGUGGUAUCCUGUCUGAAUAUGGGGGGACCAUCCUCCAAGGCUAAAUACUCCUGACUGACCGAUAGUGAACCAGUACCGUGAGGGAAAGGCGAAAAGAACCCCGGCGAGGGGAGUGAAAAAGAACCUGAAACCGUGUACGUACAAGCAGUGGGAGCACCUUCGGGUGUGACUGCGUACCUUUUGUAUAAUGGGUCAGCGACUUAUAUUCUGUAGCAAGGUUAACCGUAUAGGGGAGCCGCAGGGAAACCGAGUCUUAACUGGGCGUUAAGUUGCAGGGUAUAGACCCGAAACCCGGUGAUCUAGCCAUGGGCAGGUUGAAGGUUGGGUAACACUAACUGGAGGACCGAACCGACUAAUGUUGAAAAAUUAGCGGAUGACUUGUGGCUGGGGGUGAAAGGCCAAUCAAACCGGGAGAUAGCUGGUUCUCCCCGAAAGCUAUUUAGGUAGCGCCUCGUGAACUCAUCUUCGGGGGUAGAGCACUGUUUCGGCUAGGGGGUCAUCCCGACUUACCAACCCGAUGCAAACUACGAAUACCGAAGAAUGUUAUCACGGGAGACACACGGCGGGUGCUAACGUCCGUCGUGAAGAGGGAAACAACCCAGACCGCCAGCUAAGGUCCCAAAGUCAUGGUUAAGUGGGAAACGAUGUGGGAAGGCACAGACAGCCAGGAUGUUGGCUUAGAAGCAGCCAUCAUUUAAAGAAAGCGUAAUAGCUCACUGGUCGAGUCGGCCUGCGCGGAAGAUGUAACGGGGCUAAACCAUGCACCGAAGCUGCGGCAGCGACACUAUGUGUUGUUGGGUAGGGGAGCGUUCUGUAAGCCUGCGAAGGUGUGCUGUGAGGCAUGCUGGAGGUAUCAGAAGUGCGAAUGCUGACAUAAGUAACGAUAAAGCGGGUGAAAAGCCCGCUCGCCGGAAGACCAAGGGUUCCUGUCCAACGUUAAUCGGGGCAGGGUGAGUCGACCCCUAAGGCGAGGCCGAAAGGCGUAGUCGAUGGGAAACAGGUUAAUAUUCCUGUACUUGGUGUUACUGCGAAGGGGGGACGGAGAAGGCUAUGUUAGCCGGGCGACGGUUGUCCCGGUUUAAGCAUGUAGGCUGGUUGUCCAGGCAAAUCCGGAUAAUCAAGGCUGAGGUGUGAUGACGAGGCACUACGGUGCUGAAGUAACAAAUGCCCUGCUUCCAGGAAAAGCCUCUAAGCAUCAGGUAACAUUAAAUCGUACCCCAAACCGACACAGGUGGUCAGGUAGAGAAUACCAAGGCGCUUGAGAGAACUCGGGUGAAGGAACUAGGCAAAAUGGUGCCGUAACUUCGGGAGAAGGCACGCUGGUGUGUAGGUGAAGUCCCUGCGGAUGGAGCUGAGACCAGUCGAAGAUACCAGCUGGCUGCAACUGUUUAUUAAAAACACAGCACUGUGCAAACACGAAAGUGGACGUAUACGGUGUGACGCCUGCCCGGUGCCGGAAGGUUAAUUGAUGGGGUUAUCCGUAAGGAGAAGCUCUUGAUCGAAGCCCCGGUAAACGGCGGCCGUAACUAUAACGGUCCUAAGGUAGCGAAAUUCCUUGUCGGGUAAGUUCCGACCUGCACGAAUGGCGUAAUGAUGGCCAGGCUGUCUCCACCCGAGACUCAGUGAAAUUGAACUCGCUGUGAAGAUGCAGUGUACCCGCGGCAAGACGGAAAGACCCCGUGAACCUUUACUAUAGCUUGACACUGAACAUUGAGCCUUGAUGUGUAGGAUAGGUGGGAGGCUUUGAAGCGUGGACGCCAGUCUGCGUGGAGCCAACCUUGAAAUACCACCCUUUAAUGUUUGAUGUUCUAACGUUGGCCCCUUACCGGGGUUGCGGACAGUGUCUGGUGGGUAGUUUGACUGGGGCGGUCUCCUCCCAAAGCGUAACGGAGGAGCACGAAGGUUAGCUAAUCCUGGUCGGACAUCAGGAGGUUAGUGCAAUGGCAUAAGCUAGCUUGACUGCGAGCGUGACGGCGCGAGCAGGUGCGAAAGCAGGUCAUAGUGAUCCGGUGGUUCUGAAUGGAAGGGCCAUCGCUCAACGGAUAAAAGGUACUCCGGGGAUAACAGGCUGAUACCGCCCAAGAGUUCAUAUCGACGGCGGUGUUUGGCACCUCGAUGUCGGCUCAUCACAUCCUGGGGCUGAAGUAGGUCCCAAGGGUAUGGCUGUUCGCCAUUUAAAGUGGUACGCGAGCUGGGUUUAGAACGUCGUGAGACAGUUCGGUCCCUAUCUGCCGUGGGCGCUGGAGAAUUGAGGGGGGCUGCUCCUAGUACGAGAGGACCGGAGUGGACGCAUCACUGGUGUUCGGGUUGUCAUGCCAAUGGCACUGCCCGGUAGCUAAAUGCGGAAGAGAUAAGUGCUGAAAGCAUCUAAGCACGAAACUUGCCCCGAGAUGAGUUCUCCCUGAGACUUUAAGUCUCCUGAAGGAACGUUGAAGACGACGACGUUGAUAGGCCGGGUGUGUAAGCGCAGCGAUGCGUUGAGCUAACCGGUACUAAUGAACCGUGAGGCUUAACCUU
Molecule: ribosomal RNA, 2902 nt
Filed under: Klebsiella pneumoniae
Lineage: Bacteria; Pseudomonadati; Pseudomonadota; Gammaproteobacteria; Enterobacterales; Enterobacteriaceae
Description: 23S ribosomal RNA
Rfam family: Bacterial large subunit ribosomal RNA
Source: RNAcentral